AGAGUUUGAUCCUGGCUCAGGACGAACGCUGGCGGCGUGCCUAAUACAUGCAAGUCGAGCGAACAGAGAAGGAGCUUGCUCCUUCGACGUUAGCGGCGGACGGGUGAGUAACACGUGGGCAACCUACCUUAUAGUUUGGGAUAACUCCGGGAAACCGGGGCUAAUACCGAAUAAUCUGUUUCACCUCAUGGUGAAACAUUGAAAGACGGUUUCGGCUGUCGCUAUAGGAUGGGCCCGCGGCGCAUUAGCUAGUUGGUGAGGUAACGGCUCACCAAGGCGACGAUGCGUAGCCGACCUGAGAGGGUGAUCGGCCACACUGGGACUGAGACACGGCCCAGACUCCUACGGGAGGCAGCAGUAGGGAAUCUUCCACAAUGGGCGAAAGCCUGAUGGAGCAACGCCGCGUGAGUGAAGAAGGAUUUCGGUUCGUAAAACUCUGUUGUAAGGGAAGAACAAGUACAGUAGUAACUGGCUGUACCUUGACGGUACCUUAUUAGAAAGCCACGGCUAACUACGUGCCAGCAGCCGCGGUAAUACGUAGGUGGCAAGCGUUGUCCGGAAUUAUUGGGCGUAAAGCGCGCGCAGGUGGUUUCUUAAGUCUGAUGUGAAAGCCCACGGCUCAACCGUGGAGGGUCAUUGGAAACUGGGAGACUUGAGUGCAGAAGAGGAUAGUGGAAUUCCAAGUGUAGCGGUGAAAUGCGUAGAGAUUUGGAGGAACACCAGUGGCGAAGGCGACUGUCUGGUCUGUAACUGACACUGAGGCGCGAAAGCGUGGGGAGCAAACAGGAUUAGAUACCCUGGUAGUCCACGCCGUAAACGAUGAGUGCUAAGUGUUAGGGGGUUUCCGCCCCUUAGUGCUGCAGCUAACGCAUUAAGCACUCCGCCUGGGGAGUACGGUCGCAAGACUGAAACUCAAAGGAAUUGACGGGGGCCCGCACAAGCGGUGGA
RNAcentral lists this ribosomal RNA (948 nucleotides) under uncultured bacterium. RNAcentral's name for it is "bacterial SSU rRNA". It matches the Rfam family "Bacterial small subunit ribosomal RNA", at positions 8 to 936 of the family's 1533-position model. The record is from RNAcentral.